GCUGGACAUGGUGGCAUGUGCUUGUAGUUCCAGCUACUCAGGAGGCUGAGGCAGGGUGGAUCCCUUGGGUCCAGGGGUCCAGGAUUGUAGUGCGCUAUGCUUAUUGUGUGUCCUCACUAAGUUCGGCAUCAAUAUGGUGACCUCCUGGAAGCAGGGGACUGCUGGAUUGCAUAAGGAAGCGUGAACUUGCCCAGGUCAGAAAUGAAGCAGGUCUAAAGUCCCUUGCUGAUCAGUAGUGGGAUGGUGUCUGGGAAUAGCCACCGCACUCCAAACUGGGGCAACGUAGUGAUACCCUGUA
This is an unclassified non-coding RNA of Macaca fascicularis (crab-eating macaque), 298 nucleotides long. It matches the Rfam family "Metazoan signal recognition particle RNA". From Rfam's summary of the family: The signal recognition particle (SRP) is a universally conserved ribonucleoprotein. The record is from Ensembl. Lineage: Eukaryota; Metazoa; Chordata; Mammalia; Primates; Cercopithecidae.